This 784-nucleotide long non-coding RNA is filed under the name Panax ginseng (ginseng). Its description in RNAcentral is "long non-coding RNA (PGIN_LNC002226)". Lineage: Eukaryota; Viridiplantae; Streptophyta; Magnoliopsida; Apiales; Araliaceae. The record is from RNAcentral.
UACUGAUUCAAAGAUAAGAAAUUAAAGCUUAUUUCGGAUGAAUUAUACAUACGUCUUUGCUGGUGCAACCCCAACGAAGAUGGUGGCAGUUGUGGUGGUCUCUAUAUCAAGGUGCAUCCCGCAUCUGCACUCAAACAUUUCAGUAAUUUUGAAAGAAAAUAAAAGAAAGAAAUUUGUGUGCAUGUUUCAUACAUAACUAUGCUUUUAACUGAAUAAUAAUAUUUUUAAUAUUAAAAAAGAAAAAACUAGAUAAUUGCUUCCCCAACUCAGAUCGUGAGAUUAAUGCUCAAUUUACUGUCCCAAAGGGCUAGGGGCACUAGGCUGUCUUGUUGCACUCGCUAUAAGCCCAAUCAAAAACUAUAACUUAUUGUUAUUGUUGAUAGAGUUGAGAAUUUAUAUGCCCCCAAAAAAAUGAGAACUUGUACAUAUUUCUACAUGUUUGGAUGUGCGACUGAGAUAUGUAAUAAGAAGUUUUACCCUCCACCGUUGCCACACUUGCAGUUAGAACCACAGCUACAAUUUGAUCCGCAGCUAGACAUUUUUCUUCAAAGUAAAAAUUAAGAGAAUAUGGAUGAUGAAUGAAUUAAGGUUAUUCUAGAUAUUGUACUCAACCUUCUACUACUUAUAAUACAAUACAGAGGAGAGACAAUGCUUACCCAAUGUACACAUGUAUUAAUAUAAUUAGCCGGCAGUUACCAACUGCUAAAGAUUAUUGUAUCUUACAUCGCCAAUUAGACUUUGCAAUGCAACAGUAAAGUUGUCUGCCUGGAUACAACUAANNNNN